GUGAGUAAUACAUCGGAACAUAUCCAGUAGCGGGGGAUAACCUAUCGAAAGAUUGGCUAAUACCGCAUACGAUCUACGGAUGAAAGCAGGGGACCGCAAGGCCUUGCACUAUUGGAGUGGCCGAUGUCAGAUUAGCUAGUUGGUGGGGUAAAAGCCUACCAAGGCGACGAUCUGUAGCUGGUCUGAGAGGACGAUCAGCCACACUGGAACUGAGACACGGUCCAGACUCCUACGGGAGGCAGCAGUGGGGAAUUUUGGACAAUGGGCGCAAGCCUGAUCCAGCCAUGCCGCGUGAGUGAAGAAGGCCUUCGGGUUGUAAAGCUCUUUCGGUGAAGACGAAACGGUUAGCGUUAAUAACGCUGACUAAUGACGGUACUCACAGAAGAAGCACCGGCUAACUACGUGCCAGCAGCCGCGGUAAUACGUAGGGUGCAGGCGUUAAUCGGAAUUACUGGGCGUAAAGCGUGCGCAGGCGGUUUGCUAAGACAGGUGUGAAAUCCCCGGGCUUAACCUGGGAAUUGCGCUUGUAACUGGCAAGCUAGAGUGUGGCAGAGGGGGGUGGAAUUCCACGUGUAGCAGUGAAAUGCGUAGAUAUGUGGAGGAACACCGAUGGCGAAGGCAGCCCCCUGGGUUAACACUGACGCUCAGGCACGAAAGCGUGGGGAGCAAACAGGAUUAGAUACCCUGGUAGUCCACGCCCUAAACUAUGUCAACUAGUUGUCGGGGAAGAAAUUCCUUGGUAACGAAGCUAACGCGUGAAGUUGACCGCCUGGGGAGUACGGC
RNAcentral lists this ribosomal RNA (783 nucleotides) under uncultured beta proteobacterium. Its description in RNAcentral is "bacterial SSU rRNA". It matches the Rfam family "Bacterial small subunit ribosomal RNA", at positions 106 to 886 of the family's 1533-position model. The record is from RNAcentral. Lineage: Bacteria; Pseudomonadati; Pseudomonadota; Betaproteobacteria.